Long non-coding RNA from Symphalangus syndactylus (siamang), 995 nucleotides. RefSeq lists it as uncharacterized. NCBI's taxonomy places the organism in Eukaryota, Metazoa, Chordata, Mammalia, Primates, Hylobatidae. The record is from RefSeq and is a predicted model, not a curated record.
GGGCAGCACCUCCUUGGCAAACUGGCCCUGGUCGAACACGUGGAAGCUGUUCCCGCUCUGAAAGGGAGACACAUGGGCCCAGAGCUAUCAGGAGGAGCUGGCGAGGGAGGCAUCCCUGUUGGCCGUGGCUGCGGUGGCUCAGAGGGGCCAUCAAAGGCUUAGGGGACAGCGAGAAGCCCACAUGGCGGGGAAGGGGGGCCUGAAGCAAGGCCAGAGAGAGGCUGGAGUGCACUGGCACCAACGUGGCUCACUGCAGCCUCCGCCUCUCAGUUCAAGCGAUUCUCCUGCCUCAGCCUCCCGAGUAGCUGACUACAGGUGCCACCAGGCCCGGCUAAUUUCUGUAUUUUUAGUAGAGACGGGGUUUCACCAUGUUGCCCAGGCUGGUCUUGAAUUCUUGACCUCAAGUGAUCCGCCCACCUUGGCCUCCUGCAGUGCUGGGAUUACAGGUGUGAGCCACUGUGCCCGACCAGGCUUUGUGGCAUUUUACAUGCCCUAUUCCCACUCCCUCUGCAGCCUUAAAAACCAACAGCUGCAGUCCCCGUGGGAACCAGCAUCCUGGCAGCCGCUGCGGAGUGGGCCAGGGCUUGGGCUCCUCCAGGGCCCCAUUCCCAGAGGACUGUCAGCAUCUGACCUAACAGUCCACUCCCAAGGCUGUCUCUGAUGUGACUUGAAGCUCUCCUGAAUAAAAAAGCUGUUUGCCGAGGUGUGCUUGUUGAAACCUUUGGAGGUGAUUUUUGAACGCUGUGGCUGCCUGAGGCAGUGCCUGGCAGCUAGGGAGAAGGAGGCGCUACUAGGGGCUCUGAAAAGCUCUGAGAUAUUCCAGGACAUCUCGCAGCCGUGUACACGGGUGAGCUGUGCCCAUGUUCAGGAAAGACCUGAGCCAGCCCCGAGCUCUCACUUCUGGCUGACCUUGAGGAUCUGCGUAAGCAGGAAGUCAGGCAUACAGUUGGGUUGUCCACUGCCUGGCCGAGUGCUGAAGGCGUCACCAACACACA